CCUACGGGUGGCAGCAGGGGGGAAUAUUGGACAAUGGGGGGAACCCUGAUCCAGCCAUGCCGCGUGUGUGAAGAAGGCCCUCGGGUUGUAAAGCACUUUCAGUGAGGAAGAACGCCUGGUGGUUAAUACCCAUCAGGAAAGACAUCACUCACAGAAGAAGCACCGGCUAACUCCGUGCCAGCAGCCGCGGUAAUACGGAGGGUGCGAGCGUUAAUCGGAAUUACUGGGCGUAAAGCGCGCGUAGGUGGCUUGAUAAGCCGGUUGUGAAAGCCCCGGGCUCAACCUGGGAACGGCAUCCGGAACUGUCGAGCUAGAGUGCAGGAGAGGAAGGUAGAAUUCCCGGUGUAGCGGUGAAAUGCGUAGAGAUCGGGAGGAAUACCAGUGGCGAAGGCGGCCUUCUGGACUGACACUGACACUGAGGUGCGAAAGCGUGGGUAGCAAACAGGAUUAGAUACCCGGGUAGUC
RNAcentral lists this ribosomal RNA (465 nucleotides) under Vreelandella stevensii. RNAcentral describes it as "partial 16S ribosomal RNA". It matches the Rfam family "Bacterial small subunit ribosomal RNA", at positions 338 to 795 of the family's 1533-position model. Lineage: Bacteria; Pseudomonadati; Pseudomonadota; Gammaproteobacteria; Oceanospirillales; Halomonadaceae. The record is from RNAcentral.